This 285-nucleotide unclassified non-coding RNA is filed under the name uncultured fungus. RNAcentral's name for it is "partial contains small subunit ribosomal RNA, internal transcribed spacer 1, and 5.8S ribosomal RNA". The stretch from base 1 to 73 matches the Rfam family "Eukaryotic small subunit ribosomal RNA", at positions 1759 to 1831 of the family's 1831-position model. Lineage: Eukaryota; Fungi. The record is from RNAcentral.
GCAAACUUGGUCAUUUAGAGGAAGUAAAAGUCGUAACAAGGUCUCCGUUGGUGAACCAGCGGAGGGAUCAUUACAGAGUAUUACACUCCCUAACCCAUCGUGAACAUACCUUUUGUUGCUUCGGCGGUGCCGCCCCCGGAGCCCUUCGGGGCCCGGAUCAGGCGCCCGCCGGAGGCCCCAAACCUCUGAAUUACCAUUGUGGAAACUCUGAGUGGCGAAAGCAAAAAACGAAUCAAAACUUUCAACAACGGAUCUCUUGGUUCUGGCAUCGAUGAAGAACGCAGC